GAUCAUGGCUCAGGAUGAACGCUGGCGGCGUGCCUAAUACAUGUAAGUCGAACGCGAGCACUUGUGCUCGAGUGGCGAACGGGUGAGUAAUACAUAAGUAACCUGCCCUAGACAGGGGGAUAACUAUUGGAAACGAUAGCUAAGACCGCAUAGGUACGGACACUGCAUGGUGACCGUAUUAAAAGUGCCUCAAAGCACUGGUAGAGGAUGGACUUAUGGCGCAUUAGCUGGUUGG
RNAcentral lists this ribosomal RNA (235 nucleotides) under uncultured bacterium. Its description in RNAcentral is "partial 16S ribosomal RNA". It matches the Rfam family "Bacterial small subunit ribosomal RNA", at positions 15 to 252 of the family's 1533-position model. The record is from RNAcentral.